GUGAACGCUGGCGGUAGGCCUAACACAUGCCAGUCGCACGGCAGCACAGUAAGAGCUUGCUCUUACGGGUGGCGAGUGGCGGACGGGUGAGGAAUACAUCGGAAUCUACUUUUUCGUGGGGGAUAACGUAGGGAAACUUACGCUAAUACCGCAUACGACCUACGGGUGAAAGCAGGGGAUCUUCGGACCUUGCGCGAUUGAAUGAGCCGAUGUCGGAUUAGCUAGUUGGCGGGGUAAAGGCCCACCAAGGCGACGAUCCGUAGCUGGUCUGAGAGGAUGAUCAGCCACACUGGAACUGAGACACGGUCCAGACUCCUACGGGAGGCAGCAGUGGGGAAUAUUGGACAAUGGGCGCAAGCCUGAUCCAGCCAUACCGCGUGGGUGAAGAAGGCCUUCGGGUUGUAAAGCCCUUUUGUUGGGAAAGAAAAGCAGCAGGUUAAUACCCCGCUGUUCUGACGGUACCCAAAGAAUAAGCACCGGCUAACUUCGUG
RNAcentral lists this ribosomal RNA (491 nucleotides) under uncultured bacterium. Its description in RNAcentral is "partial 16S ribosomal RNA". It matches the Rfam family "Bacterial small subunit ribosomal RNA", at positions 29 to 507 of the family's 1533-position model. The record is from RNAcentral.